This 468-nucleotide ribosomal RNA is filed under the name uncultured bacterium. RNAcentral's name for it is "partial 16S ribosomal RNA". It matches the Rfam family "Bacterial small subunit ribosomal RNA", at positions 28 to 507 of the family's 1533-position model. The record is from RNAcentral.
GACGAACGCUGGCGGCGUGCUUAACACAUGCAAGUCGAACGGAAAGGCCCUGCUUUUGUGGGGUGCUCGAGUGGCGAAUGGGUGAGUAACACGUGAGUAACCUGCCCUUGACUUUGGGAUAACUUCAGGAAACUGGGGCUAAUACCGGAUAGGAGCUCCUGCUGCAUGGUGGGGGUUGGAAAGUUUCGGCGGUUGGGGAUGGACUCGCGGCUUAUCAGCUUGUUGGUGGGGUAGUGGCUUACCAAGGCUUUGACGGGUAGCCGGCCUGAGAGGGUGACCGGCCACAUUGGGACUGAGAUACGGCCCAGACUCCUACGGGAGGCAGCAGUGGGGAAUAUUGCACAAUGGGCGGAAGCCUGAUGCAGAAACGCCGCGUGCGGGAUGACGGCCUUCGGGUUGUAAACCGCUUUCGACUGUGACGAAGAGUGAGUGACGGUAAUGGGUAAAGAAGCACCGGCUAACUACGUG